Molecule: ribosomal RNA, 1142 nt
Filed under: uncultured bacterium
Lineage: Bacteria
Description: bacterial SSU rRNA
Rfam family: Bacterial small subunit ribosomal RNA
Source: RNAcentral
AGUCGAGAAUCUUCCGCAAUGGGCGAAAGCCUGACGGAGCGACGCCGCGUGCGGGAUGAAGGCCUUCGGGUUGUAAACCGCUGUCAGUUGGGAGGAAAUCUAUGAGGGUCAUCCCUCAUAGUUGACCUAUCAUCAGAGGAAGGACGGGCUAAGUUCGUGCCAGCAGCCGCGGUAAGACGAACCGUCCAAACGUUAUUCGGAAUUACUGGGCUUAAAGGGUGCGUAGGCGGCUUGGCAAGUUGGGUGUGAAAUCCCUCGGCUCAACCGGGGAACUGCGCUCAAAACUGCCAGGCUAGAGGAAGAUAGAGGUGAGCGGAACUAAUGGUGGAGCGGUGAAAUGCGUUGAUAUCAUUAGGAACACCUGUGGCGAAAGCGGCUCACUGGGUCUUUUCUGACGCUGAGGCACGAAAGCUAGGGUAGCGAACGGGAUUAGAUACCCCGGUAGUCCUAGCCGUAAACGAUGAGCACUAGGUUGGAGGCUCCUUCAUAGGCUUCCGACCGAAGCGAAAGUGUUAAGUGCUCCGCCUGGGGAGUAUGGUCGCAAGGCUGAAACUCAAAGGAAUUGACGGGGGCUCACACAAGCGGUGGAGGAUGUGGCUUAAUUCGAGGAUACGCGAAGAACCUUAUCCUGGUCUUGACAUGUACGGAUGGGCUGCCUGAAAGGGAUAGUCCCUGCCUUCGGGUGAAACGUACACAGGUGCUGCAUGGCCGUCGUCAGCUCGUGUCGUGAGAUGUCGGGUUAAGUCCCUUAACGAGCGAAACCCUUGUUCCUAGUUGCCAGCACAUAAUGGUGGGGACUCUAGGGAGACUGCCGGUGUUAAACCGGAGGAAGGUGGGGAUGACGUCAGGUCCUCAUGGCCUUUAUGACCAGGGCUGCACACGUCCUACAAUGCGGUGUACAGAGGGAAGCAAACUCGCGAGAGCAAGCAAAUCCCAAAAAGCACCGCCCAGUUCGGAUUGCAGGCUGCAACUCGCCUGCAUGAAGCCGGAAUCGCUAGUAAUCGUGGGUCAGCAUACCACGGUGAAUAUGUUCCUGAGCCUUGUACACACCGCCCGUCAAGCCACGAAAGUGGGGGGCAUCCGAAGUCGCCAAGCUAACCGUAAGGAGGCAGGCGCCUAAGAUGAACUCUGCGAUUGGGACU